GGCUGGUCCAAGUGCAGUGGUGUUUACAAAUAAUUGAUCACAACCAGUAACAGAUUUCUUUAUUACUUCUCCACUCCCACUGCUUCACUUGACUAGCCUAAA
Molecule: unclassified non-coding RNA, 102 nt
Organism: Cavia porcellus (domestic guinea pig)
Lineage: Eukaryota; Metazoa; Chordata; Mammalia; Rodentia; Caviidae
Rfam family: Y RNA
About the family: Y RNAs are components of the Ro ribonucleoprotein particle (Ro RNP), in association with Ro60 and La proteins. The Y RNAs and Ro60 and La proteins are well conserved, but the function of the Ro RNP is not known.
Source: Ensembl